GCCCUUAGAGUUUGAUCAUGGCUCAGGACGAACGCUGGCGGCGGGCCUAACACAUGCAAGUCACACGAGAAAGCGCCUUCGGGCGUGAGUACAGUGGCGGACGGGUGAGUAACGCGUAUGCAACCUACCCUUGAGCGGGGGACAAUCACGGGAAACCGUGGCUAAUACCGCAUAAAAUCUCGGUUGCGCCUGCAACCGAGAUCAAAGCCUUCGGGCGCUCUUGGAUGGGCAUGCGUCGGAUUAGCUUGUUGGUGAGGUAGAAGCUCACCAAGGCAACGAUCCGUAGCUGGUCUGAGAGGAUGAUCAGCCACACUGGCACUGAGACACGGGCCAGACUCCUACGGGAGGCAGCAGUGGGGAAUCUUGCACAAUGGAGGAAACUCUGAUGCAGCCACGCCGCGUGGAGGAAGACACCCCUAUGGGGCGUAAACUCCUUUUCUGCCGGAAGAAAACCCUGGUCUCCAGGGCGUGUCGGUACGGCAGGAAUAAGCACCGGCUAACUCCGUGCCAGCAGCCGCGGUAAUACGGAGGGUGCAAGCGUUGUCCGGAAUUACUGGGUGUAAAGGGUGUGCAGGCGGGGCAGCAAGUCAGAGGUGAAAGCCCACGGCUUACCGUGGAAGUGCCUUUG
RNAcentral lists this ribosomal RNA (628 nucleotides) under uncultured Bacteroidota bacterium. RNAcentral's name for it is "bacterial SSU rRNA". It matches the Rfam family "Bacterial small subunit ribosomal RNA", at positions 1 to 629 of the family's 1533-position model. The record is from RNAcentral. Lineage: Bacteria; Pseudomonadati; Bacteroidota.